GAGGGUAUAGCUCAGUGGUAGAGUGUCUGCUUAGCAUGCACGAGGUCCUAGGUUCAAUCCUCAGUACUUCCA
RNAcentral lists this transfer RNA (72 nucleotides) under Camelus ferus (Wild Bactrian camel). It matches the Rfam family "tRNA". Rfam says of the family: Transfer RNA (tRNA) molecules are approximately 80 nucleotides in length. Their secondary structure includes four short double-helical elements and three loops (D, anti-codon, and T loops). Further hydrogen bonds mediate the characteristic L-shaped molecular structure. tRNAs have two regions of fundamental functional importance: the anti-codon, which is responsible for specific mRNA codon recognition, and the 3' end, to which the tRNAs corresponding amino acid is attached (by aminoacyl-tRNA synthetases). tRNAs cope with the degeneracy of the genetic code in two manners: having more than one tRNA (with a specific anti-codon) for a particular amino acid; and 'wobble' base-pairing, i.e. permitting non-standard base-pairing at the 3rd anti-codon position. The record is from Rfam by way of RNAcentral. Lineage: Eukaryota; Metazoa; Chordata; Mammalia; Artiodactyla; Camelidae.